Molecule: ribosomal RNA, 468 nt
Filed under: uncultured bacterium
Lineage: Bacteria
Description: partial 16S ribosomal RNA
Rfam family: Bacterial small subunit ribosomal RNA
Source: RNAcentral
GACGAACGCUGGCGGCGUGCUUAACACAUGCAAGUCGAACGGAAAGGCCCUGCUUGCAGGGUGCUCGAGUGGCGAACGGGUGAGUAACACGUGGGUGAUCUGCCCCUUACUUUGGGAUAAGCCUGGGAAACUGGGUCUGAUACUGGAUAGGACCAUGCUGUAGGUGGUGUGGUGGAAAGAUUAGUUUCGGUAAGGGAUGAGCUCGCGGCCUAUCAGCUUGUUGGUGGGGUAAUGGCCUACCAAGGCGUCGACGGGUAGCCGGCCUGAGAGGGUGGACGGCCACAUUGGGACUGAGAUACGGCCCAGACUCCUACGGGAGGCAGCAGUGGGGAAUAUUGCACAAUGGGCGCAAGCCUGAUGCAGCGACGCCGCGUGGGGGAUGACGGCCUUCGGGUUGUAAACUCCUUUCAGCCAUGACGAAGCCUUCGGGUGACGGUAGUGGUAGAAGAAGCACCGGCUAACUACGUG